GCUUGACCUUUAACCCGGGGGCCGCCCCGCCCCCAGGCGGCGCUCCGCUCGGCCCAAGAUGGUGGCGUCCGUGUGCGGCGGGGGGCUACGGCCGCUGGUGCUGUCGUGGAGCCGGGAGCUGCCCUGCGCCUGGCGCGCCUUGCACAUCUCCGCGGUCUGCGCCAAGAACCGGGCGGCCCGAGUCCGAGUGAGCAAGGGGGAUAAGCCAGUGACCUAUGAGGAGGCGCACGCGCCUCACUACAUCGCGCACCGCAAGGGCUGGCUGUCGCUGCACACAGGAAAUUCUCCCAGGAUGAAUAUUCUGUCAAUCAAGCUAUCUGGAAUGAGUUUACAAGCAUUCAUGAGACAGAGGCAGCCUAACUCGUUAGCUGGUGAGUGGGGUGAAGCCUCCGAUCCUCCACAGCUCCGGACCGAAGGCACCGAUGUCCCCAUGGUCAUCAUGCUGAAAGUGCACCAUACACGGGAUGCGCUCCUUCAAAAGGACCGGUGCUGCCUCGACUUGAGAAAAGAUGCCAGGAAGAAGAACCUGAGAGGAGCUUAGUAAACAGAUGAGCCGGUCCCAGCAGGAUGCCCGCUUCCUUGUUCACCUUGAGAUUCUCAGUAAUGUCUAAGUCCCCCAAAGCCACUCUGCAAGGACCAGAUUCUGCCCUUGGAGUAAAGAGGUCACCUGUCACCAAGGGAACCGGAUGGCCAGGAACACCAGGCGGCUUUGGGGAUCAGCAGGUUUCUGCUGGAAGAGGCCUUCCUCCUCUCAUCCCUGGCUCCAUGUGUCAGAAUUGAAUCACACCAGGGCAUUCACGGACCUAGAAUUCAAUUACCUGUCAUAUUAUUAUUCAACCAUUUCCUCCUUUCCUUGGUAAAUUUAAUUUUUCCUUAUUCUAAUGAAGCUCUCUGGAAAAAUCAAAUCAGUGCUUUAUUUUAAUGAGCGCGAUCAUCCCGUGAUGGACGAGGCACAGAAAGCCCGUGGCUUUGGUGGAAGUUCCGUGAGCUGGCAGGUGGUGCCAGGUCUGCGUCACCUCUGUCCUUGGGGGAAGGGCUGAGCUUCGCACAGGGCAAGUCCACCGUGGUCAGCCGUGGACUCUCAGGGCCCAGGAGGGCCAGAAUGUGAAAGAAUCCAAAUUAUCGUAGCAUUUUCCCAAAAAGCAAUAGAAAACUUUAACUCAGUCAUAGCCUUCUAUGCUUCUAUUCUCUAGAAAUUCAGGAAUUACAUUUAUAGAAGAAUGUAUUCUACAAUCGGUUCGUCCUCACAAAGCAGGUCAUUUCAAAUCAGCCCAUUUACAGAGUUGUUUGUUUGUUUUGUUUUUUUGGUCUUUUUACCACCCCACCUGCGGCACAUGGAAGUUCCCAGGCUAGGAGUCAA
This is an RNA transcript of Sus scrofa (pig), 1360 nucleotides long. It is a transcript of the gene named mitochondrial ribosomal protein S24, with no coding region annotated. The record is from RefSeq and is a predicted model, not a curated record. Lineage: Eukaryota; Metazoa; Chordata; Mammalia; Artiodactyla; Suidae.